Molecule: ribosomal RNA, 429 nt
Filed under: Gemmatimonadota bacterium
Lineage: Bacteria; Pseudomonadati; Gemmatimonadota
Description: Gemmatimonadetes bacterium partial 16S ribosomal RNA
Rfam family: Bacterial small subunit ribosomal RNA
Source: RNAcentral
UAGGGAAUCUUCGGCAAUGGACGAAAGUCUGACCGAGCAACGCCGCGUGAGUGAAGAAGGUUUUCGGAUCGUAAAACUCUGUUGUUAGAGAAGAACAAGGACGUUAGUAACUGAACGUCCCCUGACGGUAUCUAACCAGAAAGCCACGGCUAACUACGUGCCAGCAGCCGCGGUAAUACGUAGGUGGCAAGCGUUGUCCGGAUUUAUUGGGCGUAAAGCGAGCGCAGGCGGUUUCUUAAGUCUGAUGUGAAAGCCCCCGGCUCAACCGGGGAGGGUCAUUGGAAACUGGGAGACUUGAGUGCAGAAGAGGAGAGUGGAAUUCCAUGUGUAGCGGUGAAAUGCGUAGAGAUAUGGAGGAACACCAGUGGCGAAGGCGGCGCUCUGGUCUGUAACUGACGCUGAGGCUCGAAAGCGUGGGGAGCAAACAGG